RNAcentral lists this ribosomal RNA (1552 nucleotides) under Salmonella enterica. Its description in RNAcentral is "bacterial SSU rRNA". It matches the Rfam family "Bacterial small subunit ribosomal RNA". The record is from RNAcentral. Lineage: Bacteria; Pseudomonadati; Pseudomonadota; Gammaproteobacteria; Enterobacterales; Enterobacteriaceae.
AAAUUGAAGAGUUUGAUCAUGGCUCAGAUUGAACGCUGGCGGCAGGCCUAACACAUGCAAGUCGAACGGUAACAGGAAGCAGCUUGCUGCUUUGCUGACGAGUGGCGGACGGGUGAGUAAUGUCUGGGAAACUGCCUGAUGGAGGGGGAUAACUACUGGAAACGGUGGCUAAUACCGCAUAACGUCGCAAGACCAAAGAGGGGGACCUUCGGGCCUCUUGCCAUCAGAUGUGCCCAGAUGGGAUUAGCUUGUUGGUGAGGUAACGGCUCACCAAGGCGACGAUCCCUAGCUGGUCUGAGAGGAUGACCAGCCACACUGGAACUGAGACACGGUCCAGACUCCUACGGGAGGCAGCAGUGGGGAAUAUUGCACAAUGGGCGCAAGCCUGAUGCAGCCAUGCCGCGUGUAUGAAGAAGGCCUUCGGGUUGUAAAGUACUUUCAGCGGGGAGGAAGGUGUUGCGGUUAAUAACCGCAGCAAUUGACGUUACCCGCAGAAGAAGCACCGGCUAACUCCGUGCCAGCAGCCGCGGUAAUACGGAGGGUGCAAGCGUUAAUCGGAAUUACUGGGCGUAAAGCGCACGCAGGCGGUCUGUCAAGUCGGAUGUGAAAUCCCCGGGCUCAACCUGGGAACUGCAUUCGAAACUGGCAGGCUUGAGUCUUGUAGAGGGGGGUAGAAUUCCAGGUGUAGCGGUGAAAUGCGUAGAGAUCUGGAGGAAUACCGGUGGCGAAGGCGGCCCCCUGGACAAAGACUGACGCUCAGGUGCGAAAGCGUGGGGAGCAAACAGGAUUAGAUACCCUGGUAGUCCACGCCGUAAACGAUGUCUACUUGGAGGUUGUGCCCUUGAGGCGUGGCUUCCGGAGCUAACGCAUUAAGUAGACCGCCUGGGGAGUACGGCCGCAAGGUUAAAACUCAAAUGAAUUGACGGGGGCCCGCACAAGCGGUGGAGCAUGUGGUUUAAUUCGAUGCAACGCGAAGAACCUUACCUGGUCUUGACAUCCACGGAAGUUUUCAGAGAUGAGAAUGUGCCUUCGGGAACCGUGAGACAGGUGCUGCAUGGCUGUCGUCAGCUCGUGUUGUGAAAUGUUGGGUUAAGUCCCGCAACGAGCGCAACCCUUAUCCUUUGUUGCCAGCGAUUAGGUCGGGAACUCAAAGGAGACUGCCAGUGAUAAACUGGAGGAAGGUGGGGAUGACGUCAAGUCAUCAUGGCCCUUACGACCAGGGCUACACACGUGCUACAAUGGCGCAUACAAAGAGAAGCGACCUCGCGAGAGCAAGCGGACCUCAUAAAGUGCGUCGUAGUCCGGAUUGGAGUCUGCAACUCGACUCCAUGAAGUCGGAAUCGCUAGUAAUCGUGGAUCAGAAUGCCACGGUGAAUACGUUCCCGGGCCUUGUACACACCGCCCGUCACACCAUGGGAGUGGGUUGCAAAAGAAGUAGGUAGCUUAACCUUCGGGAGGGCGCUUACCACUUUGUGAUUCAUGACUGGGGUGAAGUCGUAACAAGGUAACCGUAGGGGAACCUGCGGUUGGAUCACCUCCUUACCUGAAAGAA